GUGAGGAAUAUUGAACAAUGGGCGCAAGCCUGAUCCAGCCAUGCCGCGUGCAGGAAGACGCAUCUAUGGUGUGUAAACUGCUUUUGUACGGGAAGAAACACUCCCUCGUGAGGGAGCUUGACGGUACCGUAAGAAUAAGGAUCGGCUAACUCCGUGCCAGCAGCCGCGGUAAUACGGAGGAUCCAAGCGUUAUCCGGAAUCAUUGGGUUUAAAGGGUCCGUAGGCGGUUUAAUAAGUCAGUGGUGAAAGCCCAUCGCUCAACGAUGGAACGGCCAUUGAUACUGUUAGACUUGAAUUACAAGGAAGUAACUAGAAUAUGUAGUGUAGCGGUGAAAUGCUUAGAUAUUACAUGGAAUACCAAUUGCGAAGGCAGGUUACUACUUGUGGAUUGACGCUGAUGGACGAAAGCGUGGGGAGCGAACAGGAUUAGAAACCCCGGUAGUCC
RNAcentral lists this ribosomal RNA (445 nucleotides) under uncultured bacterium. Its description in RNAcentral is "partial 16S ribosomal RNA". It matches the Rfam family "Bacterial small subunit ribosomal RNA", at positions 354 to 796 of the family's 1533-position model. The record is from RNAcentral.